AAUCAACGCUGGCGGCGUGCCUCAGACAUGCAAGUCGAACGCGAAACCUUCCUUCGGGAGGGGAGUAGAGUGGCGCACGGGUGAGUAACACGUAGGUAAUCUACCUUUGGGUGGGGAAUAACAGCCGGAAACGGCUGCUAAUACCGCAUAAUGCAGCGGCUCGACAUCGAGACAGUUGUUAAAGCGGGGGAUCGUAAGACCUCGCGCCUAAAGAGGAGCCUGCGGCAGAUUAGCUAGUUGGUAAGGUAACGGCUUACCAAGGCGACGAUCUGUAGCCGGCCUGAGAGGGCGGUCGGCCACACUGACACUGACAUUACGGGUCAGACUCCUACGGGAGGCAGCAGUCGGGAAUUUUGGGCAAUGGG
RNAcentral lists this ribosomal RNA (365 nucleotides) under uncultured bacterium. RNAcentral describes it as "bacterial SSU rRNA". It matches the Rfam family "Bacterial small subunit ribosomal RNA", at positions 32 to 375 of the family's 1533-position model. The record is from RNAcentral.